Molecule: small RNA, 148 nt
Filed under: Macaca mulatta (Rhesus monkey)
Lineage: Eukaryota; Metazoa; Chordata; Mammalia; Primates; Cercopithecidae
Also listed under: 1 other name
Description: Metazoan signal recognition particle RNA (ENSMMUG00000061334.1)
Source: Rfam by way of RNAcentral
GCCGGGCAUGGUGGCACAUGCCUGUAAUCCCAGCUACUAGGGAGGCUGAGGCAGGAGAAUCACUUGAAUUCGGGAAGCGGAGGUUGCAGUGAGCCGAGAUCCGGCCAUUGCACUCCAGCCUGGGUGACAGAGUGAGACUCUGUCUCAA